This 378-nucleotide ribosomal RNA is filed under the name uncultured Actinomycetes bacterium. RNAcentral describes it as "bacterial SSU rRNA". It matches the Rfam family "Bacterial small subunit ribosomal RNA", at positions 521 to 896 of the family's 1533-position model. Lineage: Bacteria; Bacillati; Actinomycetota; Actinomycetes. The record is from RNAcentral.
UAAUACGUAGGGUGCAAGCGUUGUCCGGAUUUAUUGGGCGUAAAGAGCUCGUAGGCGGUAUGUCACGUCGGAUGUGAAAAUCCAAGGCUCAACCUUGGACCUGCAUCCGAUACGGGCAAACUAGAGUGUGGUAGGGGAGACUGGAAUUCCUGGUGUAGCGGUGAAAUGCGCAGAUAUCAGGAGGAACACCAAUGGCGAAGGCAGGUCUCUGGGCCAUUACUGACGCUGAGGAGCGAAAGCGUGGGGAGCAAACAGGAUUAGAUACCCUGGUAGUCCACGCCGUAAACGGUGGGCGCUAGGUGUGGGGACCAUUCCACGGUCUCUGCGCCGCAGCUAACGCAUUAAGCGCCCCGCCUGGGGAGUACGGCCGCAAGGCUA